Molecule: ribosomal RNA, 510 nt
Filed under: uncultured bacterium
Lineage: Bacteria
Description: partial 16S ribosomal RNA
Rfam family: Bacterial small subunit ribosomal RNA
Source: RNAcentral
GACGAACGCUGGCGGCGUGCUUAACACAUGCAAGUCGAACGAAGAGCGAUGGAAGCUUGCUUCUAUCAAUCUUAGUGGCGAACGGGUGAGUAACGCGUAAUCAACCUGCCUUUCAGAGGGGGACAACAGUUGGAAAGGACUGCUAAUACCGCAUACGAUCUAACCUCGGCAUUGAGGAUAGAUGAAAGGUGGUCUCUACAUGUAUGCUAUCACUGAAGGCGGGGUAUGCGUCUGAUUAGCUAGCUGGAGGGGUAACGGCCCACAAAGGCGAAGAGCAGUAGCCGGGCUGAGAGGGUGAGAUGCGACACUGGGACUGAGACACGGCCCACAGUCCUACAGGAGGGGGAGGAGGGGAAACUUCCGCGAUGGAGGAAAGUGCGACGGAGCGACGCCGCGUGAGUGAUAACGAGCUUCGGGUUGUAAAGAUCUGUUAUACGGGACGAGAGGACAUCUUGCGAAUAGUUAGAAGGAUUGACGGUAACCGAAUAGAAAGCCACGGCUAACUACGUG